UACGUAGGGUGCGAGCGUUAAUCGGAAUUACUGGGCGUAAAGCGUGCGCAGGCGGUUAUGCAAGACAGAUGUGAAAUCCCCGGGCUCAACCUGGGAACUGCAUUUGUGACUGCAUAACUAGAGUACGGUAGAGGGGGAUGGAAUUCCGCGUGUAGCAGUGAAAUGCGUAGAUAUGCGGAGGAACACCGAUGGCGAAGGCAAUCCCCUGGACCUGUACUGACGCUCAUGCACGAAAGCGUGGGGAGCAAACAGG
Molecule: ribosomal RNA, 253 nt
Filed under: uncultured bacterium
Lineage: Bacteria
Description: partial 16S ribosomal RNA
Rfam family: Bacterial small subunit ribosomal RNA
Source: RNAcentral